GCAUGCACCACCUUGCUUGGCUCUGCAAAAGCUGUUGUGAGGGGUUACUGUAUGACACUGUAUGCCGAGGACAUGAAGAUGAGCUGGAAUGGCUCCAUCCUUAGGCUAGCCUGUGGUAUCAAGGGGGAAUAGCUUUAGUCUAAAACAAAGGAAAAGGGCCAGAAAAUGGAAGUAUCAGAAAAUGGAAGGGGAGAAAGACUGUGAAGGGUCUAUCUAAAUUCAAGGUCCUGGACAUUUCUUCAACUCACAACCCAAAAGAAUUAAAGGAAGAACUAUUGAUGAUCUGAGCCCCAAUGUUUUCAGACGAGCGUAAAAACAUGAUCCUGGUGAGGAACUACAAAGGUGGUCGUGGAAUGAAGAAAGGAUGAUAUUCAGGAUAAUGUUAAAUUUUAAGGUCCUCUGAUUGUAUUGUGAUAGAGAUAUAUCUUCAAGAUACAUGAUAAAAUAUCUAUGCGUAAGAUGAUCUGCUUAAAAAUACUACUCAUUGAUGUAGACCUCUACUAAUGGGUGGAGAAAUGUGAUACUGAGCUGAGAGCCAUGGGACUGACUAUCUUUAGACUGGGGUAUUGCUACAGCCUGCAAAAGCAAGAGGGACAGCCAGGACAGGAAGGGCAUUAGCUCUGGCAUUGGCAUCUUUACAGUCCACCCACCAGGCUGUGACCACUGGCCCACAAGAGAAACUGCUGAUACAGGCCUGGAAACACUCUGCAAGGCUUCUUGACAAGUACCGUGUCUAUCACAAGUGGGCUCAACCUGCCUCCUCAUCCACAGAACUCUGCACAGCACAGACAAUUGCAUGCAGCACUGCCUCAGGUGCACGUUGCACCUACAGAACAUUCUGGUGUGGUGAUGACGUCGAAAUGAGUAAGAUAUUCAUCCCAUCCUGUCAGAACAACGUGCUCUCAGAAAAAACAGUGUGCUUGGAGAUGACAGCCCUGGAGAACCCAUUCAGCCCUUGUCAAGGUACACAAGGAAGGCCAGUCAGCAGAGGCAGAACACGGCCUCUGGAGACUCCACCUCAGGCUUAGAGAUCCCAAGGAGCACCAUGGAUAGCAUCAGCUAUCACUGUUCAUGACCACCUCUUCUUUUCUGUGUGCAUCUCUUUGAAAGUGGAUCGGAGCAAACUGGUGAUACACCCUGCAUUGAAGCAGAUGGUCUGCACUGGAUUCUCCUGAUGUGAUACCACUCAAAGAACCCCACAUAGGAAAGCUCUGUGCUUUCUCAAAGCAGCACCGUGGCCAUUUCAAAGUAAUUUCAGAGGUGCUGCUGCUGUGGAAAUGCAGUGGAAGUAGGCUUUGCAAACACACACUCGCAAAUGCUCUACAAUUCUGCCACUGGCAGCUGUCCAGAGAGGAGC
This is a long non-coding RNA of Mastomys coucha (southern multimammate mouse), 1357 nucleotides long. RefSeq lists it as uncharacterized. NCBI's taxonomy places the organism in Eukaryota, Metazoa, Chordata, Mammalia, Rodentia, Muridae. The record is from RefSeq and is a predicted model, not a curated record. The transcript has 4 exons.